CCUGAUCUGCCAUGCCGCGUGAGUGACGAAGGCCCUAGGGUCGUAAAGCUCUUUCGCCUGUGAUGAUAAUGCAGUAGCAGGUAAAGAAACCCCGGCUAACUCCGUGCCAGCAGCCGCGGUAAUACGGAGGGGGUUAGCGUUGUUCGGAAUUACUGGGCGUAAAGCGCGCGUAGGCGGAUUGGAAAGUUGGGGGUGAAAUCCCGGGGCUCAACCCCGGAACUGCCUCCAAAACUUCCAGUCUGGAGUUCGAGAGAGGUGAGUGGAAUUCCGAGUGUAGAGGUGAAAUUCGUAGAUAUUCGGAGGAACACCAGUGGCGAAGGCGGCUCACUGGCUCGAUACUGACGCUGAGGUGCGAAAGUGUGGGGAGCAAACAGGAUUAGAUACCCUGGUAGUCCACACCGUAAACGAUGAAUGCCAGUCGUCGGCAAGCAUGCUUGUCGGUGACACACCUAACGGAUUAAGCAUUCCGCCUGGGGAGUACGGCCGCAAGGUUAAAACUCAAAGGAAUGGACGGA
This 515-nucleotide ribosomal RNA is filed under the name uncultured Roseovarius sp. Its description in RNAcentral is "bacterial SSU rRNA". It matches the Rfam family "Bacterial small subunit ribosomal RNA", at positions 382 to 917 of the family's 1533-position model. The record is from RNAcentral. Lineage: Bacteria; Pseudomonadati; Pseudomonadota; Alphaproteobacteria; Rhodobacterales; Roseobacteraceae.